UUAUUUAUAGUAUAAAGAAUACACUAGUUUUUCGUGCUAGGAAUGCAAAUUUUGUUAAAUAAU
This 63-nucleotide transfer RNA is filed under the name Lineus viridis. RNAcentral's name for it is "tRNA-Glu". Lineage: Eukaryota; Metazoa; Nemertea; Pilidiophora; Heteronemertea; Lineidae. The record is from RNAcentral.